AACCAGACUCCUACGGGAGGCAGCAGUGGGGAAUAUUGGGCAAUGGGCGCAAGCCUGACCCAGCAACGCCGCGUGAAGGAAGAAGGCUUUCGGGUUGUAAACUUCUUUUAAGAGGGAAGAGUAGAAGACGGUACCUCUUGAAUAAGCCACGGCUAACUACGUGCCAGCAGCCGCGGUAAUAUGUAGGGGGCAAGCGUUAUCCGGAUUUACUGGGUGUAAAGGGAGCGCAGACGGCAGUGCAAGUCUGGAGUGAAAGCCCGGGGCCCAACCCCGGAACUGCUCUGGAAACUGUGCGGCUAGAGUACUGGAGGGGCAGGCGGAAUUCCUAGUGUAGCGGUGAAAUGCGUAGAUAUCAGGAGGAACACCGGUGGCGAAGGCGGCCUGCUGGACUGCGACUGACGUUGAGGCCCGAAAGCGUGGGGAGCAAACAGGAUUAGAUACCCUAGUAUC
Molecule: ribosomal RNA, 450 nt
Filed under: uncultured bacterium
Lineage: Bacteria
Description: partial 16S ribosomal RNA
Rfam family: Bacterial small subunit ribosomal RNA
Source: RNAcentral